Molecule: ribosomal RNA, 465 nt
Filed under: uncultured bacterium
Lineage: Bacteria
Description: bacterial SSU rRNA
Rfam family: Bacterial small subunit ribosomal RNA
Source: RNAcentral
AUUGAACGCUGGCGGCAUGCUUUACACAUGCAAGUCGAACGGCAGCGCGGGGCAACCUGGCGGCGAGUGGCGAACGGGUGAGUAAUAUAUCGGAACGUACCCAGAAGUGGGGGAUAACGUAGCGAAAGUUACGCUAAUACCGCAUACGAUCUACGGAUGAAAGUGGGGGACCUUCGGGCCUCAUGCUUUUGGAGCGGCCGAUAUCUGAUUAGCUAGUUGGUGAGGUAAAGGCUCACCAAGGCGACGAUCAGUAGCUGGUCUGAGAGGACGACCAGCCACACUGGGACUGAGACACGGCCCAGACUCCUACGGGAGGCAGCAGUGGGGAAUUUUGGACAAUGGGGGGCAACCCUGAUCCAGCAAUGCCGCGUGAGUGAAGAAGGCCUCGGUUGUAAGACUCUUUGUCUAGGAGAACGGUAGAGGGCGUAAUAUACCCUUGCUAAUAGACGGUACCUGAAGAAUAAG